CAGAGCAUUGGUGAUGGAGUUCACCAAGAACCGUCCCACCGUGAAAGCGGGACUGAUGACUCCUACCGAAGA
RNAcentral lists this non-coding RNA (72 nucleotides) under Candidatus Nitrospira inopinata. RNAcentral describes it as "Fluoride riboswitch aptamer (crcB RNA motif)". It matches the Rfam family "Fluoride riboswitch aptamer (crcB RNA motif)". RNAcentral also lists the same sequence under 1 other name. The record is from Rfam by way of RNAcentral. Lineage: Bacteria; Pseudomonadati; Nitrospirota; Nitrospiria; Nitrospirales; Nitrospiraceae.